RNAcentral lists this non-coding RNA (21 nucleotides) under Arabidopsis thaliana (thale cress). Lineage: Eukaryota; Viridiplantae; Streptophyta; Magnoliopsida; Brassicales; Brassicaceae. The record is from RNAcentral.
AAGUACAGGUAUUAAACGGCC